This 301-nucleotide unclassified non-coding RNA is filed under the name Archaeospora sp. Its description in RNAcentral is "partial contains 5.8S ribosomal RNA and internal transcribed spacer 2". The stretch from base 1 to 71 matches the Rfam family "5.8S ribosomal RNA", at positions 84 to 154 of the family's 154-position model. The record is from RNAcentral. Lineage: Eukaryota; Fungi; Glomeromycota; Glomeromycetes; Archaeosporales; Archaeosporaceae.
GUGAAUCAUCGAAUCUUUGAACGCAUAUUGCGCUCCCUGGUAUUCCGGGGGGUAUGCCUGUUUGAGGGUCAUUUGAAAUCAUAUAAAUUCCAAUAUUUUUCGGAAUUUAAAAUGGCUUGUCCAUUUUUUGUGGUCGCCUAAGAUCCAGGACAAGCUCAUUUUCUUGGGUUGCGUGAUACUUUCAGUUACCUCGUGACUUAACCAGGAAUCACCGGGCGUGUUAUGAAUUUUGCAAGAGAUAAAAGAUUCCAUAGAUAAAUCUCACGCGAAAUAGAAAUCGAAUCAUGACCGCAAAUUAUGU